GUAUUACUAGGAAUUCCCUUCAAGCACUUUACGAAACACAUUUUGGGGGGCUUAUGUGAAGUGUUUGGGGGAACUCUCGGUGUAAC
Molecule: non-coding RNA, 86 nt
Organism: Hordeum vulgare subsp. vulgare (domesticated barley)
Lineage: Eukaryota; Viridiplantae; Streptophyta; Magnoliopsida; Poales; Poaceae
Source: Rfam